UGAGCACACAUCAGCAUGUUCGUGAACUGUCAAUAAUAGGAGAAAAGCCUUUUUUAAAAGCAAAAGCAGUCUUGCACAGUCAGCAAGGCAGGACCUCAAAAAGGACUGCAUUUCCUGAUACUCAGCUUUGCUCCCUCAUCACUGGCACUGAUUGUCAGUGUCUACAGCGCACAUUCUAAAUGCACUGUCCGUGAGUGUUGCUUUUUUUCACCCCAUGCAUAUUUAUUUUAUGUAUAUGCUUGUAAUACUCUGCGAAUGCAUUAUGUACAUCAUAAAGCAUGGACCAAAAAAUUAGAAUUAAUUUAGUUUAAACAUUUAAAGGAAGAGAGCAAAAUAAAUGGAAAUAAGAGUUGCCCCGCUUUCCACAUCCAGUGGUUCAUUUUGCACACGCCCUGGGCGGCAGACAUCCCAACUUGGAGACGGAUAUUCUAGGCACCCAUCUCUAGGGACCACCUCCCGGGUGAGCGGUCAGGAAAAGUAAGAGUCUCAAGAUUAAGAGCUGUAGCUCCUUUCCUUUGUUGGCUUCCUCUGUCUUCGGUUGGCCAAAACCUAAAAUCGUUUCCACAUCAGACAGUUCAUUUUAAUGGCACUUACAGCCAACAUGCAAAGUCAAGGACGGAUCUUACAGUGACACAGAAGCCACGUCUGGCCUCAGACAUCCGGGGGGCCCAGCUGAGAAAGCUCCGUGGGUGGAAUGCCUCUUAAGCAGGACACAGAAGAAGGGAACAGCAGAGGAAGGCAAGAGGGAAGUUCCGGAUGGACCAGAAGAUCGCAAGCUGCAGGGAGGAGGAUGCGGGAGAGAUGGAGAGAAGCCUUUCUGGGCUGAGGAGAGACUGAGCACCAAGACCGAGCCGUGAUGAGGGGGACAGUCCCCGAGCCGUGGGAUCAUGGGGGACAACCCAUGUUAUUACCUUUUCAAAAGACACCCUUGGAGUUCCCGUCGUGGCGCAGUGGAAACAAAUCCGACUAGGAACCAUCAAGUUGCGGGUUCGAUCCCUGGCCUCGCUCAGUGGGCUCGGCAUCUGGUGUUGCCAUGAGCUGUGGUGUCGGUCAAAGAUGCAGCUCGGGAUCCCGCGUUGCUGUGGCUGUGGCGUAGGCCGGCAGCGACAGCUCCGAUUUGACACCUAGCCUGGGAACCUCCAUAUGCCGUGAGUGCGGCCCUAAAAAGACAAAAGACAAAAAUUUUAAAAGAAAUAAGUAGAUAAAUAGACAUGCUUUAUUUGGGGGGGAAAUCUUUUUUUUUUUAACUCAAUGAAUUUUAUUUUUUAUUUUAUUUUUUUAAUAUAUAUUUUUUUAAUUUUCCCACUGUACAGCAAGGGGGUCAGGUUAUCCUUACAUGUAUACAUUACAAUUACAUUUUUCCCCCACCCUUUCUCAAUGAAUUUUAUUACAUGUAUAAUUGUACAAUGAUCAUCACAACCCAAUUUUAUAGCAUUUCCCUCCCAAACCCCCAGUCCAUCUCUCCACCCCCCCAACCUGUCUCCUUUGGAAAGUGUAAGUUUUUCAAAGGCUGUGAGUCAGUGUCUGUUCUGCAAAGAAGGUCGUUGUGUCCUUUUUUUAGAUCCCAUGUGUGAGCGAGAGCAUAUGACGUUGAACCAAAAUGAUCGCCGAUGCGGGUGGAUCUUAGGGCUGCUUGUGUGGUGAGUGAGAAAGGCCUGUGUGGAAAUGAGGCCAGCAUCCUGGUCCGAGCAGUGGUAGAAAGAGAGAAGGAUGGAAAAAGAAUGAACAGGAGUUCCUGUCAUGGCUCAGUGGUUAACAAAUCCGACUAGGAACCAUGAGGUUGUGGGUUCGAUCCCUGGCCUCGCUCAGUGGGCUAAGGAUCUGGUGUUGCCGUGAGCUGUGGUGUAGGUCGCAGAUGCAACUCGGAUCCCUGGUGGCUGUGGCUCUGGUGUAGGCCGGUGGCUACAGCUCCAAUUAGACCCCUAGCCUGGGAACCUCCAUAUGCCACAG
Molecule: long non-coding RNA, 1950 nt
Filed under: Sus scrofa (pig)
Lineage: Eukaryota; Metazoa; Chordata; Mammalia; Artiodactyla; Suidae
Description: lncRNA (ENSSSCG00030018694.1)
Source: RNAcentral